UGGUUGGCUAAAAAUGGUGUCUGUUUCUGAGCAUCUAUAUUGUGUUUGAUAAGACAAUAUGUACUUAAUUCUACUGAAUAACUACAAUUUCAAUUUUAUGAAUGUGUUCAGUGUCAUUCAAAUUAUGUAGGUAAAUAUAUUUGAAAAAGUAACAUUUAAUAAUGCUGGCGUUUGUUGAAAUCAAUGACCAUAAAUAACAAAACUAUUUUAUAAAUAAAGUGUGAAAGACCUUUUUUAAAGAUGCAAAUGUUGAAAAUUUUAGGUAGCACCACCAAAGUACUUUGAGAAGAGAAAUAUAAAGAAAUAGAACCUAUGAAAGUCCAGGGAUACUGGAAUCCUGUUUAUAUUGUUUUGUAUAUACUAAAUUUGAUUUUCAGCUCUAAUUAGGAAAAAUAUAUUGUUUUCAGCCAAGUAUGUUAUUACUUUAAGAUUAUUCUAAACAUUGCUACAUAAUUCCCAUGUCUUUUGUACUUAUUAUUCUUGUGCUACUUAAAAUAGACCCUGUUGUUGUAAGUCAAUGCCUUCUGUCACCUGACAAGGCAGGUGGCAAACCAGUGGUAGCUGUGCCUUAGAUACACCCAGUUUUUAUGCUGUAGAUCAUCUCCACGUCACAUGGUUUCAUAAAUAGUAUUUAUGACAUCCUCUCAUGUCAUCUGUUUUGCAUGUUUAUAUUUUUGUACUACUUACUCUGUUUUGCCCAGGACUUUUAUAUUCAUACUCAUAUUCUUUGAUAAGUCAGAGGAAACUUGACUCAAAACUAAUUUUAAAAAUUAAAGAAGGGGAAUUCUCAUCGUGGCUCAGAUCUAACUGGCAUCUAUGAGGAUGCAGGUUUGAUCCCUGGCCUCGCUCAUUGGGUUAAGGAUCUGGCAUUGCUGUGAGCUGUGGUGUAUAGGUUGCAAAUACAGCUCGGAUCUGAUGUUGCUAUGGCUGCGGCCGGCAGCUAUAGCUCGGAUUCAAAUGCUAGCCUGGGAACCUCCAUAUGCUGUGGGUGGGGCCUAAAAUAAAAAGACAAAAAAAACCUUAAAGAAUAGUUAUUGCUCAAUUAAAACUUGUUAAUACCUUUUUCAACAGUUAGAGCUUGUGUGUAUACUACAUUUUUCAUUGUACAAUACUAAAGAUAGGCCCAACUACAUAAUUAAAGGAUUUUGGAACAUUUUAUUAUAUUUUAAGUUUGAAGCUUAGCCUGAUUAGAGAAUGAAAUAAAUAGCUAACUCAGUAUAACUACUAUAAAUAUUACACUUUGGUAUAUGUUAAUUCCUGCAUACAGUAUGGGAUAUGGAAUGAAACUGUAUGGUUAGGGCUAGAGUGACAACUAAGAUCAGUGCAGUAAAGGGAGUAUAGACAUGACAAAUUUAAAAAUACAUUGGAACUGUAUUUGACUAAAUUCUUUGAUUUCUUCGUAAGGAGAUAAUUGUUUGGAUUUGUAGCCAGUACUUCUCUGUCCAUUACUCUUUCAAACAAUUCUUUAAAGCUAAACUGGAUUGUUUUUUUCCUUUGCAUUGCUUUUCAAUAUUGUUAGAAACAUUUCUAUAAUGAGGAGAAAAUUACUUCAGUAAAAUGUUCAUCUUUAGUACAUUUCAUGUAUAGUUCACUUUAAUGAAUAACUAUUUUAACUAUUACUUUCAAAGAUUUCCAGCUCAACAGUAAUUCUGCUUUCCUCAUUAUUGCUAGUAUAUAACUGCAUCAUUGUAAUCAAUAUUUUUUGCUUCACAAUGAUGCAUCUUAAAAAAAAACUCUGUUUUACUUUCAGAGAAGCUGUACCAUUGCUGCAAUAAAUUCCAACCCAAGAAAGCAGUCAUUCACAGGCUAAGAUAGUAUUUCAUCCAUGUUGUAAAUGUCACAUGCCAUAGAAUCUGAGGUCAGGCAUCCUAUGAACACUGAAAUUAUAGUUACAUAACACUUUAAUAUGCAUAUACUGAACUCAGCAAUAUAAAAUAAGCCAUUCUUUUCUUAUAGAGUAGAAAAUAUGAACAAAGAAUUGAACUUUAAUUUGAAUGAUAAAGAAAGAGCAAAAACAAUUUCCACUAUGCCAUUUGUGAAGGCUACAUACAGGUCUUCAGAAGUAUGGAAUAUAUUUGUUAAAUCUGAGAGCAUUGGUUUGGGGAAUUGGGCUCCAGGCCAGAGUUUCCUGUGUGACAUUUCAGGCCUGACCAUAGGCAAUUACACAGGAUCUGCCUUGUGGGCCUCAUGGGGAAAGCUGCCUCUCCUCACUAGACUUGGUGUACAGCCUGCAUAUUAGAGUUUUCAAGAGAGAGUCAAGUUUAAGAACUUGAGGUCCCUCAGGCCAGCCAUGCUCACAUACAUACGAGGUGCCUGCAUUCAGAAGCCUCUUAAUUGAGGCAAUAGGCUGAGGCACUUUUUAGGUAUCUAUGCCAAGAACUUCUUAGUGGGGAACCUCAACUAAGACAAUUUUCUCCACUGGCUCAGUGCUUCUCCACUCUUAGCCUCCCCUUCCCUCCCUCAGGCCUGUCAGAUCCAUAAAAAGACAGGGGCCCUCUGUUUGAGGGUCCUUGGCACUUAGAUGAUGCCCCCUGUCUACAGUGCAUGUCAUUCAAACCCUUGCCUUUGCCAUUCCAUGUAGAGACAUGGAACAUUGGGGAAGUGGAAUCUACUUUUGCCUCUUGUUAUGCAAUUACAGUGAGUCAAUAGGCUUUCUUAUUACCUUCAGUUUGGCUUGCGGUCCUAAAUGACCACUUUGACAUCUGAAAGAUCCACAUAGUUCAUAACUCUUCCCUUUUCAUUUGGUGGUUUUCCUUAAUUUUGUUUUAUAAAACUAGUGAGCAAGUAAGAAUAGACACUUUUGUAUAUUGUGAAUUUUCUAAUGGAGAGAAUAUGCUCCUCUAAGAAUACAGAUAAAUAUACUGGGUAAGGAUACUCCAUAUUUAUAGACAAAGCAAAGAAGAAUGAUACUUCAAUUAGUCUAUUUGAAAAUAAUAGCAUAUAAAAUAGUCUUAAAAACCAUAUUCAUGAUAUCUCAUUAAUGCAGCUAACACAGUAUUUCAUGUGUUCAAAAGUGCUGGGUUUGGGGUUCCAUCCUUGUAUUUUUAAAAUAUGUGGCUUUGUGCAAUAACAAUGUCAUAUUCACACCCCAACAAUUAAUAUAAUGUAAAUGUUGAAUCUUUCCUCUUGACACUUUAGGCAUUAAAUUAAUCUCUUGAGAAAGAAGUUGUUAUUCAAGCUACAUUAGUAAAGAGACCAAAAUUAUGUGCAGGAAAACAAAGUUUCAUUGUCUAACAGAUGCCUAAUUAGGGAGUUGAAUACUUGAAUCAAGUGAGGCAUGGAAAUGGAUUAUAUAGCAUUUACAUGUGGAGCACAUUAUUUAUCAAUAAAAGUAAUAAAUGGUGCUUUAAGGAGAAACUCACCAAAGCUUUGCUGAACUUUGAGCUGUUAAUUUUUCUUCAUUUUUGAUAAUAAAAGUAGCAGAACAUCACUUUACCAUUACCGCUUCUGUUAGGUUAAACAACUGAUUAGUGAUCCCUAAUGAAAAAACUCAAUGACCAUAAAAUUUGAAUCUUGUAAAGUUUUAUUUUCAGAAACACACCAUAGAUUUUGUUAAAUUUAACAAAGAAUUUGUGAAAUAUUGAUGAAAUAAGGCAAGUAUUCAGGUACUAAGUUCCGCAGAUGAAAUGAAUUAGGAAGUAGGAAGGCAGCAUUGGUAGAAAUGAAAUGUUCUGUAGAAAACAACGACAAAAAAACUCAGCUGCUUUGUAUAAUGCAUAUGUCUAAACAAGAAUGGAUUGCUGUAUCCUUUUUCAAAUAUUUUUUUCAAAAAAGGAAAUGUUUUCGCUUCUUUAGGUUUUUACCAUGUAUGUGGCUGGGCUGAAUAUUUUAAUGCUGCUUCUGACUUUUGAACAGAUAGAAUCUUACACUAAAAUUACUUAAUCACAAAUAUUAUAUAUAAAAAUGUGCCUAUGUGAUCUAGCACAAAAUGUUCUGGGAACAGAAGCAGUUGCUCUGCCGUUUAGGGGAUGGUAAGUGAAGUUGAAUCUGCCUUUAGCAGGAGGUCAGGGACUGCUCAUGCUUACAACAAAAUCAUGGCGUAAAGAAAUUUUUGUAGUUUUAGACACAGCCACUACUAUGUAUUAUUAAAUAUAUCAAUUUUCUGAAUAAGAACUUUACCUUGGCUAGCUAAAAUAAAUAGAUAAAUACACAGACAUUUGGAAAACUCAAAUCGCUUCCCUUAAAAUUGAUAGAUACAACUUAUAUUCUAUGCAUCAUUUUAUUUUUCCCUCUUUCCCUCAUUUUUGUCUUUUCCUCAGUUCCUUCCCUUUUAUUUCAGAUUACUAACCUGUUGUCCAGUUGUGUUUAUAUACAACUUCACAAAAAGAGUCCUUCUGUAAAUGUCUGUAGGGCUAGUUAAGGAACAGUGUAUUGACUAUGACGGUAUAACUAUAUUCUAGGAAUAUAUUUAAUUCUUGAUAAAGACAGCUCAACAUAGAGUCUUUGUCUUGACAUCUCAAUUUCAGGAAAUCAUUUGGGCCGUUAAACUUCUCUAUUUCAAGUUGAGUCUCGAGGAAUGCUAAAUAGUACAUAAUUAAAUGCUACUGUUUUGUAUUUGGAGUAGAAUCCAUUGUUUAUGAAGUGGUUAUUAAGAGUCUGAUCAAUUUAAACUGAUAUCCGUCAUCCCUAUCUUUCCUCUCCUUCGGGGAGGUGCCAUCCAGGCUUGUAAAAGCCAGUCUGCUCUGUGAUUUAUUCUUCUUCCCACUCUAUCAUGUUAGAGCAGAAGCAUCUGAUACUUGGACUGGUCCCACAGUCUCUCUUCUGCUACACCGUUAUAGCAAAACAGAAGGGUGAUAGUGCAGAAGUGGCAUCUACCUCAAUUCAGUGCCCAUUGAAGGCUGCUUCUACUGAUUGUCACUGUCUUUCGCUAGUGCUGUCUGGCCAUUGAUGACCUCCAAGUGACAAAUAUAAAAUGCUGGCUCUAUCUUGAAGGGUUCUUGUGCCUCUUUUGAAAGACCCUAAGGUAGUUCUUAGGCAUCGGAGUUCCACUUUUAAGGCAAUUCUGGUAGUACUUGAUUGUAGUAGGACCAGUUCAGCUUCUUUACAAAGACUUUGCGGGUGAUCUGAUCUCAUUGUUUUCGAGGCUCCUUUUAGAACUGAGGCAUGCAAAUCCUCUUUGUCCUCAGGUGUCGAUCCUUGGUGCCAAUUGAAGAACACUCUGAAAACCCUAAUAAAUGUCUUGUUUCAUAAUUGCAGUUUGUAAGCACUCUGAUGUCAUAAAACCCAUGGACUGCGGUGACUUUGUUGAGGUUAUUAGAUGACGUGUGUGUGGUGUUGACUGCAGAUGCACAGAUACUACCAGAGAGCUUCAGUGAUCCAUUUACCUUUCAAGGAAUGCUUUAAAGAAAGUUAGAGGCUUGAAAGAAUUAUUGAGUUAAAGAACUAUAUCUCUUAAAGUGUGCGUGUGCGCACAUGUGCGCAUAUGCACAUAUGUGUGUAGACAGAGACCUGGAGUUAGAGAGCCAAAAAAGUAACAGAGGGAACAAUCAAGGUAGCAGUGUUUCACUAUAUACUUUCCAGUUAGUUUUAGAAUCUGUGUUUGGAGAACAUAAAGUCUAUUUUAAAGUCAAGUGAUAAGGAGUUUUCACUGAAUUAUAGUGCAGUUGAAGAUUUAGCAAUUUCUGAGAUACCACUAAAUGCUUCAAAGAAACUAAAACAGGAAGAAAUGGAUUUUGAGAUGCAUAGAUCUCUUUGUUAAUAUACCUAGAGUAAGAAAUAAAAGGUCUAUUAUGAUGAUAAUUUUCUAUCUUAGUGAAAGUCCUUGUAGGGAAAUCAAUGAAAUGUUUUAAGUUUUGAUCAAAUAAAGUAUGCACAUGAUUUAAAAAUGGAACAUAUUUACUUGAUAUAAAAAGCAACUGUCCCUUCUCAGUUCUUUUUCACAUUCUGUCCUGUUCCUUGCAGGAAAAAAUACUUUGACUUUCUUGGACCUUUUUUUCUGAAACCUAAUUUAAUCUAUAAUGUACCUACUCUGUUAUAGAUAUUUCUUAAUUUUAACCAUUAUCAAUAGAUUUUUACUCUAAAAAAAAUGAGAAUAGAGCUCAAACUUUUUUUUUCUUUUUAUGGGUGCACCUGGGGCCCAUAGUGUGGAAUUGGAGCUGUAGCUGCCAGCCUACACCACAGCCCCAGGAACAUGGGAUCUGAGCUGCACCCAAGCCACAGCUUGCCGCACGAUGGAUCCUUAACCUGCUGAAGAGAGAGGCCAGGGAUCAAACCCUCAACCUUAUGGAUGCUAUGUUGGGUUCUUAAUCUGUUGUGCCACAAUAGGAACUCCUCAAACUUUUUUAUCUUCCCUUCCCUCCUUCAUUCUUUCAAUAUAGUUAUGUCAGUAACUCUCUCUUUAAAACCUUUAUGUAAAUUUACCUGCUACAUAUACUUAGUGCACUUGCACAUCUAUUUCUUAUUCAAUAAAUUAUGCUGAGUAUCAUGGAGGACAUUACUGGCUGCCUAUAUAGCAGAUACUCCCCCCUUUCUUGUUUGGCUUAUGGAACAAUAUUUCCUACUGAUCUCCUUUCCACCCUUGGAUUCUGUUUAAGAUUAUCCCACGUUGGAAUUCCUGUUGUGGCUCAGUGGGUUAAAAACCCGACAUAGUGUCCAUGAGGAUAUGGGUUUGAUCCCUGGCCUAGCUCAGUGGGUUAAAGAUCCAGCGUUGCCCCAAGCUUCUGUGUAGGUCGCAGGUACAGCUAGGAUACCACAUUCCUGUGACUGUGGUGUAGGCUGGCAACUGCAGUUCUGACCUGAGAACUUCCAUAAGCCA
RNAcentral lists this long non-coding RNA (6754 nucleotides) under Sus scrofa (pig). RNAcentral's name for it is "lncRNA (ENSSSCG00055026103.1)". Lineage: Eukaryota; Metazoa; Chordata; Mammalia; Artiodactyla; Suidae. The record is from RNAcentral.